This 211-nucleotide unclassified non-coding RNA is filed under the name uncultured fungus. RNAcentral describes it as "sequence contains ITS1". The stretch from base 1 to 103 matches the Rfam family "5.8S ribosomal RNA", at positions 50 to 154 of the family's 154-position model. Lineage: Eukaryota; Fungi. The record is from RNAcentral.
GAAGUGCGAUAAGCAAUGCGAAUUGCAGAACCGUGAGUCAUCAGAUUUUUGAACGCAACUGGCGCCGGCUGGUUCUCCAGUCGGCAUGCUUGUUUCAGUGUCUUGUUUUCUCCUCACCCAAACCUUAAUGCCUCUACUCUCAAUGAGUUCACACUUUGAGAAAUGUGACGACAGCAUUGAGCGCAGCUUCAAGAACGAGUCUACGAAGCCG